ACUCUCCCCUAUCGAUUUCAAGAUUUUGAUGAAAUCGAUUGUCUUCACUCUCCCCUAUCGAUUUCAUCGGUUUCAUCAGAUUACGAUUGAGAUGAUAUCGAUUCCAACAGACUCUCCCAGAUGCGUAUAUAUUUGACAUAUCGUUGGGUAAUCUAUUUCUCUUUAGUUUGGGACGUACUUCGUUGGGCAAUAUUAUCAGGUGCUUCAGACGCAGCCUGAUUUCGUUCACCAAUUUUACAGCGAUAGGAGCACGUUAGUGUAACUCAAAGAAAUCACGUCCAAAUUAGAUGACUUAUUUUGACUCUGUUUUCAGUUCGAGAAUUUGCUACUAUCAAUAUACGGAUUUUGAGUUCAAGAAUUUGCUGCGUUGCUGCUAUUGUUAGCUAAUUUUGAGG
Long non-coding RNA from Cynara cardunculus var. scolymus (artichoke), 395 nucleotides. RefSeq lists it as uncharacterized. The transcript has 3 exons. The record is from RefSeq and is a predicted model, not a curated record. Lineage: Eukaryota; Viridiplantae; Streptophyta; Magnoliopsida; Asterales; Asteraceae.